RNAcentral lists this ribosomal RNA (249 nucleotides) under uncultured Leptolyngbya sp. RNAcentral's name for it is "partial 16S ribosomal RNA". It matches the Rfam family "Bacterial small subunit ribosomal RNA", at positions 355 to 619 of the family's 1533-position model. The record is from RNAcentral. Lineage: Bacteria; Bacillati; Cyanobacteriota; Cyanophyceae; Leptolyngbyales; Leptolyngbyaceae.
UGGGGAAUUUUCCGCAAUGGGCGCAAGCCUGACGGAGCAAGACCGCGUGCGGGAGGACGGCCUAUUGGUUGUAAACCGCUUUUGAUAGGGAAGAAGCUCUGACGGUACCUAUCGAAUCAGCAUCGGCUAACUCCGUGCCAGCAGCCGCGGUAAUACGGAGGAUGCAAGCGUUAUCCGGAAUUAUUGGGCGUAAAGCGUCCGUAGGUGGUUGUUCAAGUCUGCUGUUAAAGCGUGCGGCUUAACCGCAUA